GAGAAUCCCAGGGACGGGGGAGCCUGGUGGGCUGCCGUCUAUGGGGUCGCAAAGAGUCGGACACGACUGCAGUGACUUAGUAGCAUUUCUGUAUCAAAAGAAUAAUAAAGCAGAGCUGAUCAACCCUUUGGUCAAAAUUAAGAGUUAUGGAAGCUAGUUAGAUAGUCUGGAUGAAGCUUCUGUUUUGUGUAUUUUGUUUGGUUCCAUUAUUUUUCACAUCUUCAUAUGGAGGAGUAGUUCCAAAUGGUAACAGUUUUCAGCAGCCUUUUAGCCUUGUAGUCUAAAUGCAGACAUUGUUUGACUCGGAAGCCUACACAAAAACGAGUUACCUUAGCUGUGCAAGUUAAUGCCCUGGCCUCCAACGUGUUAAGUUUUGGCAUAUGUCACAGUUGAGUAUGUUUUAUUAUUGCAUUUAAUAAUAACCAUUAGCAUUUAAUAAUAACCAGUAAUUUAAUAACCAACUUAAAAUGAAACUAGAAUCAGAAUUUGCCAAACCCCUGCAGCAUCCCGGGGUUCCCCGGAGACAGUUCAGGCACCGCUGCACUACGGCAAUCUACCUCAGACACACACUGGGUCUCUAUCGUUGGAGCAGCCUAAGGCAUGGGGGUGUUGAAUGACUGAUGGAGGGCCUCCAGUCUGGGCGUCUCCCCACCCCUUGGAUUGGAUGACGGCUGCCGCGUAGAAGGCAGCCUUCUGUCCCACGUGAGGAGUGGCUUUACGGGUGAAGGAGAUCUCAGCCUUGGCUCUGCAGCCUCUGCCCUCCUCUCUCUGCUGUCUGUGCGUCUCCAUCCUCAGAGAGGGUCGCCCGUCAGGGCCUUCUCUCUCUGGCCUCUGCGUCGGUCUGUUCAGUGCUUGCCUCCGUCCUGUGAAUAUGGGAGUACGAAUGGUCCACGUGGAAAAAUGUCACUUUCUAUUUAUAAAUGAGAGGAAAUAUUUCUACUGUUUAUGCUAGAAGCCCCGAGCCGCGCUUUCAGGCUCUGAGAAUUAUGUCUCUCGGCCGUGGCCUCACUGGCCUCCUGGGCUCUGUCACUGCUCUACCCAAAGCUGCUUUCUUCCCCACCCCCCACCCCCCUUCUGCUUUUCACCACUUCUGGUUGCCUGUACCCUCUCUCCUCGAGUUAAAUGUUUGUGCUUGCAAAGUUUAUUAAUAGCACCAGCACCGCUGAGUGGAAUAGUGAUUUGCUUCCCCUUUUUAAUUUAAUUUAUUUUUGGCUUUUAGUAACAAAUCUGCAAGAAUAUUUCAAGCUGCUCCCUUUUGAGGCAAACUCCAGUUAAUCCAUUUAAGCACAUCUUGGGGGUCAGGCAUUCCCGGAGUACCCUCUCACAGUCGUAGGCAUCGCAGCUCAUCCCCUCUGCGGUAAAUGCCCUGGUGAUCACUGUUCCUCGGAGGGGUUCCAGCUCUGGACCCAUGGUCUGUUCCACUGCACACUCCCCGUCCCCGAGGCUUUUCUAAUAUAACCUACCUACAGACAUGUCACCGCCCAGGGAAAUUUUUUUUCCCAGCUGUGACUUGACAGUGAUAUUAGUGCUGUCUAAACAAUCCAUUGCACGCCUUUCAGCAAACAUCAGAAUGCCAGGCGUGGACGUCAGUUUGCUGGUGGUGGUGGGGUGGAGUGGGGUGAUGGUAGGGUGAUGAUUCUUAGGCGACAAGUCCUUCCCAUACCUGGAGCUUGGGUUAUGAGGUCAGGGUCAUGAUUUCCUACCGAGCCCAUCUGUUGUAGGUGUUGAGUGAUGGGGAUGCUGUUAGGUGCAGUCGGCAGGUGGGAUUGUGGAUCGGUGGCCUUGGCUGGCUUCCCCAGGUGAGCAGUGGGUCCGUGAUGGUGGUUGUGUCUUUCGGCUGGUCGCAUCGUUGGGACCCAUCGGCUGGUCCCAUCGUUGUCUGGCGUGUUGUCUAGCGUCCAGUCUGAAGACCUAAUCACCUCUGCCGGAGCCUCAUCUAGAAGCUUCUCGUGGCCCCUGCAGUCCUCUUGUCUGCUCAAACAGUACCUGGCCCCUCACACCGGUCCUUCUGUCUCAUGUGUCCUAAGAGAGCCAUACUUUUGUCACCUUAGAACAUGGAGAGGUGAUUUUCAAAUGGAAGUGGAGGCGGGGGUAGGUGUGAUUUUGUUUUGUUUUGUUUUGCCUUGAUAGUUGAGCCCCAAGUGGCAGAGAGACCACUUGGAGGUCAGUUGAGAACCAGAGACUCUUGAGUGAGGGGUUGCUCUUGACAUGGCUCUGUCUCCUACCUCUGAACAGCCCAGGGAGUGGACGGCAGCUGCUGGCAAGGAAUUGAUUGCAUUAAUUGAUAUGCCAAUAAGAGAGCUUGUUACAUCCGCCAUUGGUUAGGAGGCCAGCUAACAAGUCCACUGAUCAAUGGCACCAAUAAAGAUUUCAUCCAUUAAUGAGCAACAUGGUAAUUAAUGUUAUCCAUAAACCAGUUAGCCUGGCUAGCCAAUGUUCUGGUUUGCGCCAUGAGUGGCAGUGCCAAAAGUGGCCGGGCAAACACCCUGUUCCAUGUGGAGUUCCACGUGGGCCUCCAGGCAGGGUCAUGGGCUGUGUGAGGGAGCCUGAGACCCUGGGAGGUUUGCUCCCAGUGGAGCAAGAAAAGAAGACCUGGAGCAUUGAGAGCCUUGGCUGAGCAGAGAAGGCAGAUGGGGUCGUUGCUGGGCCCCAGGCUGGGCGCAGCUGUGCCUGCCUCGUCCCCAUACCUGCUGGGCGGAGAGUCGGCCACACUUGUCUCUUCUGACUCCUUUGGUCUUAGAGCUUUCCCACGCGAGCCUCUCAGGGGCUGUUAGGGGCGUAAUGGAAUGACUGCACUCCCGGGUCACUCCAGUCCCAGCUGGGCACGCACUCCCCAGGGACACCCCUUGUCAGUGGCUCACACGCAGGGCCCUGUGCUCCUGGAGGGCGGGCCGUGGCCUCUUCUGGGAAAACCAUGGACAAGUGGUGAAGUAAUUAACAUCCCCCCCAACCAACCCCAGCCCCUGCCUCCGUGUUUCACUAGGAAGGAACAUUUUGCUAGAAGAAAGAAGGAAAAACAGAUGAUUUGAAGCUGUGCCUCUUUUCCUGCCCACCCCCCCACCUUGGUUUUUUGAAAUGACAUCAGUGGCUUGUUUGCCAAGCAUAACCUGGCAGCCUGGCGGCUCUGCCUGACUGCCUGAGAUUUCUGGGGACCGUGCAGCUCGCCAGCUCCAGCCGUGGCAGCGUGCCAAGGUGACGUUCUGUGACUAAGCAGAAACGAGGGAGAGGGAGAGAGGGAGGAAGAAGGUAUGUGUGGUUGGGGAGCCGGGGGAGAGAGUGGUCCCGGGGCGGGUUGCUGUGGGGAGAUGUAGAGGCACGUGCGGGGGCAUCCGAUCAGGAGGGCGGGUGUUGGGGGAGCGCACUGGCAGGGACUGUCCCUGUGGCCCUGGGUGGAGGCGGGGGAGGGGAGGGCAACAGCCACACAUGCAGCCUGGGUGGUGGCCAGAGGGGUCUGACUUCAGAGGGAAGCGAGUGAGCCAAAGCGAAGGUGACUGCCCCGAGGGCCUGGAACUGCUGAGGAGGAGGCUUAGGGAAGGACUUCUCGGCAUCAGGCCGAUACUCCUCAGCGGAGUUUCCUCUGCAUUGUUAGGUAUUGACCCUCCAAGACCCCUUGUGGAUUCCCUAAUUGAAAAUUAAUACUAGAUCAAUGCCAUGGGCAAUUUGCAUAUUGAUCAUAAACAACUUUGAAGGCAGCGAGUGUGCUGCAGAUCAAUAGGGCCCCUGAACAGGCUGCAGAGGGAGCGCCUCCCAGUACAAUGCACUCCGAGAGGUUAAUGAUUCGGGAAGUUCCUCACCGCUCAGCACGGGGAGCGGCCCCACACCACACAGCGUCGUUGGCCAGAGCAAUUAGUCGGGGCCUGGGCCGCCCCCCCGCCCCAAGCCACCCGGUCCCCAGCAGAGGGGAAGAUGGCUGAGCUGGUGCGAGACAAGGGCUGGCCACGAGUGUUUUUAUGGUUGCCUUUUUUGGUGAUGGAUGAAGUCUUGGGGCAGUUUAUUCUGGGAAGUGUACUGUAAAAGGCAGCAGCCAAGUGAAGGCUCCAGUCAUUAUUCUGGCCCCUUCCCCAAAACACAGUUCUCCGCAAGACUUGAACAGAAUGACCUGAGGAGGGGGCUCUCUCCGCCCAGCCUCCUCCUCCAUCUUCCCAUUCCUGGAAGCCUGAGUUAGUGCUCACUUUAGGCAGUGAUGUGCUUGGCCCCAUUUUGCAUCCUGUUCCGUUCACCUCCCAGUUUCUGGCUUUGGGCUCCUCGCCCACUACUUACCUCCAUCCCCUGCCUCGAGUCUUCUUGUCCUGCUCUGGCAUCACGUCUUGCCUUUCUGGUCCGUCCCCGGGUGCCCUGUGGGUCCCCAGCAGGCCUGGAGGGUGCUCCUCCAGGUGGGCCCCCGUCACCUGUCCCCUGUUCGCUUCUUUUGUUUUCCUCUCUUCUCCCUCUGGCCCGUAUCCGGCUCCUCUUGUCUCCUGGCCAUAGAAGCAGAGUGUGGACGGGUAUCCUGUGGGUGCUGAGGAUCCCCCAUUAGCAUUUACAGCAAAGCUCAGAACACCUGAGAGCCCGACUACUGAUUCUCUCUUCACACUCCCGGGGUACUUUGAGAAGGCUGGUCUGAGGAUCGGGGCCAAAGGCAACCUGCAAAGACGGGUGAUGGCUGUCUGCCUGGACCUGGCUACCUGGCUCCAGCCCCAAGACAGUGGAGGGUGGUGGUGCGGGUGGUGGUCACUAGGGGGAGACACCUCCUAUGGAGUGGUGAGGGGAGCAGACUUUCUUCCACAACAGCCCUGCUCCCACCCCCCACCCCAGCCCCCCAGAUUCAUCUAGUACUGAGAAGAGCUAGCAUUAUAAUAGCAGUCCUGUCAAGGUGGCAGAGCUUUAGAUGGCUAUUAAGUUUGCAAAAUGCAUCGAAAUUCAUGGAUGUGGAGGGGCAACGCAGUUUCAGAGAAGGGGCAUGCCAAAUGGUGGGUGUCAAAUUUGCAGGUUGGCGCUGCAGCCCUUCUGAGCCUUGAGCCCUUCACCCAGUGCUGUUCCUUCACCUUCGCAGGGAGGUGCUCUGGCCCACGCUGGUGUGGUGGGUACCCCUGGUGUACGGCUGUCGGGCCCGCCCUCGUGCUGCUGCAUAAGGGAUGGUCAGUGUUCCCUUUCUCUUUGUGGCAUUGCCCCACCGCAAGGUCAGCUCCUCCCCACUCCUCAGGAAGGGAAAGGCUCAAGGAGAUUUUAUCUCUGUCUGCACUUAUAUAUUAUACAUACACAUAUAGAAAUACGGUAGCUUUUCUGCUGGGAAUCCCUCUCAGGGCAGCGGUCAAGCUGUAUGCACAGCCCUCUGCUCUGCUGAAGGGGAUGAGCGAGGACCCAGGCCACCACAGAUUCGACCCAACAAGCAAGACAGCGAGUCCAGCGUCUUAUCUGCCCAGAGGGAGGGGUACCGGGGGGGCGGCUUUGUUCUGAUUUUCACAUGAGUACCUCAUGUGUUCGCAGUGCCUCUGGUCUUGUUCACAGCUGUAUCCAGUGCCCAGAACAGGUGCUCUGUGGAUGUGUGGUGGGUCGGUGGGUGGGCAGAUGGCACAAGUGUAGCUUCUUCAGGGAAGCCCAGUUAGUCUCAGCUCUGUGACCUUUGCCAGGUCUUCCACCUUGCUGAGCCUCAGUUUCCUCAUCUGGGAAAUGGGGGUAGUAACUGUAUCUGCUUUGGUUGAGCGAUGACUGUCCCGCUGCCAUUAUGAUGAUUGUUAGAUAAUAACGACGAGCACAUGGGAGCUUUCAGAGGUGGCUGUUGUUGGUUUCCACGCUCAGGCUCUUUGCAGUGAAGGGUUUUAUCCAGGCAGCAGAAUAGGAAAGCAGCUGGCAUGCUGUGCCGAUCAUUCCCAUUUGGCUAGUCCCUUCCUCCUCCUCCUUCCAGUCAGGGCCCUUGUGAUCAUGUCACAGAAGAUGUCAUCCUGGCCAGGGGUUCCUGGGGCAGGAUGGGGGUGACCUGACGUGGAGCCCGGGAGCCCACGGGGUGGGGUGGGUGGAGGGUCAGGGGAGACGGGAGGGCCCACGUCAACUAGACUCGGGACCAGGUGUGGCUGCAGCCCCACAGCCUGGUGGCAGGUGCCAGGCCAUCCCCGUGCAUGUGAUUCCUUCAUUACGGAGCCUUUCAUUGACUCGGCCACACUGUGCUGAUGAACUGAGUCUGGGGACAAGAGCGCAUAAUUGGCGGAAAUAAAUUCCCAUCACAGGCCUGGCUACAGCCAGAAGUGAGUGUCCACCUGUGUGUGUGCGCGUGCGUGUGUGUAUGGGGGUGGGUGGGCAGGUGUUCACUUUCUUCCCUGGAUGCGCCCCCCGCCCUCCUUCCCUUCCAGAACCUUCCCGGCACUGCCUGUGGGCCCAGUGGGCGGCCCUGCCUCUGUGUCCCCUGCCUGGAGCCUCUGGCGUCCUGUGCCGCAGUCACUGCAUCACCCUGAGGGGCGCGAGCCUGCCGGGGGGUGGGGAGUGGGGGGGGUGCGCCUGUUCACACACCCGCGGGCCUGCCCGGGGGCUGGGGGGGCGCCUGUUCACACACCUGUCCUUUCUCUCGUUCAAUCCAUCUCCCUUCAUCCGUUUGUUUGUUCACCUUCAGCGCUGUCUGCGCUCUCUGCUUAGAUCUCCGUGAAGACAGCGAGCAGGGAGCUAUGGGCCUGCCCUUCUUAAUUGAAAUCGCAUUUCAUUCAUCUGGGAAAUGAGGCAGAGGCGGGGGCGGGGCGCUUUUCCACCGGCAGCCGAUUCGACAGGAGGCCAGGCUUGAAGAUAAGCAGCCCACGAACACACAGCACAUCUUGGAAAAGAAUUUAGGAACUAGAGCCAUUUGCAUAAAACUAAACUAAAAACCACAUAACCAGCCACGUGGUUUUAACCACCACCACAAAAAGAAAAAGUCCUACUGUAAUGCAUUUUCUCAAAACCAGGGAAUUAGUGGCUCAGGUCACCGGGGCAUCUGAAGCUGGUCAUUACUAAUCAGUUGUUUACAGCAAAGAGAUUUUUUUUCAUCUCCCCCAGUGUUUUCUGGGCCUUCAAAAGCAUUUCCUGGAAUCCUGAGUGAAGUCGGACAACUGGAAGUUGCUUGAACCGCUGUGGUGCCACUGUUAGAAUCCAUCUUCCUCAGCAUCACAGCUUUCGUUGAGGAAGGUUCCCAAGGAGCCCGCUGCCCACUCCUUCUCAUGUCUGGCUGUGCAAGGGUCGUCAUGGCCGCUUGUCCCCUGUGGCUGCUGCCCCCACGCCUCACCUGGAGACCCUAGUUUGGUCUGCUUCACUGAGUGGUCUUGGAGCCCUUCCCUUCUCCAGGUCCUGGUCUCCUACUUUGUAGAACUGAGGUGCUGCAGCUCCUCCAGAUCCCUCCAAGGAAAGGCAGGUCCUUCUGAUGACUGGGUUGCUGCAAACGCCAUUAUUUCUCUUUCUUGAACCUGUUUUUACCGUUUUCGUGCUUUUAUGCCUUCUCUUGUUUGGACUCCCCACCUAUCUUAUAUUUUACACAUUUACAUUUAUAUCCUUUUAGAAUUUCUAAAACACAAAUUUUUUUAAUUUAACCACCUUAAUGGUAUCGAAAUAAAUUUUACACACC
Bubalus bubalis (water buffalo) is the source of this 7561-nucleotide long non-coding RNA. RefSeq lists it as uncharacterized. The transcript has 2 exons. The record is from RefSeq and is a predicted model, not a curated record. Lineage: Eukaryota; Metazoa; Chordata; Mammalia; Artiodactyla; Bovidae.